This 55-nucleotide microRNA precursor is filed under the name Columba livia (rock pigeon). RNAcentral describes it as "Cli-Mir-34-P2b_pre stem-loop". The record is from RNAcentral. Lineage: Eukaryota; Metazoa; Chordata; Aves; Columbiformes; Columbidae.
AGGCAGUGUAGUUAGCUGAUUGCCAAAAGUACCAAUCACUAGCCACACAGCCAGG